RNAcentral lists this ribosomal RNA (138 nucleotides) under uncultured bacterium. Its description in RNAcentral is "partial 16S ribosomal RNA". It matches the Rfam family "Bacterial small subunit ribosomal RNA", at positions 355 to 509 of the family's 1533-position model. The record is from RNAcentral.
UGGGGAAUAUUGCACAAUGGGGGAAACCCGUGAUGCAGCGACGCCGCGUGAAGGAAGAAGUAUCUCGGUAUGUAAACUUCUAUCAGCAGGGAAGAUAAUGACGGUACCUGACUAAGAAGCCCCGGCUAACUACGUGCC